Molecule: unclassified non-coding RNA, 373 nt
Filed under: Hevea brasiliensis (rubber tree)
Lineage: Eukaryota; Viridiplantae; Streptophyta; Magnoliopsida; Malpighiales; Euphorbiaceae
Source: RNAcentral
UCCAUAGAUGUGGUAAAGGGCAUAAUCACAAAUACCUUUUGGGGAUCCAACGUCUCUGAUUUCUCAGACCAUUUAAGCGAUUCAAAUUUGGCAAUUUCUCCUCCCACCGCAGCAGAUGCCGUAAAUUUGAUAUAGGAAUUGUGACAUUUUGCUAUCGAUGAUCUCUGCACAAUCGAUCUGAAUUUCUUUUUCUGGGAUAUUAUUAUAGAUUAUAUUAUAUAGAUAGAUUUAUCGAGUGUUAUAGCAUAAUGGACAAGAAUUUCAGCGCCGAAGAUCUGUCUACUAUCGGAGGAAUCGCUACCGUUUCGCUUCUUCAUUCCUUCAUCCCAACGCAUUGGCUUCCCUUCUCCAUUGUUGGCCGCGCCCAGAAAUG